Molecule: small RNA, 886 nt
Filed under: uncultured Cystofilobasidium
Lineage: Eukaryota; Fungi; Basidiomycota; Tremellomycetes; Cystofilobasidiales; Cystofilobasidiaceae
Description: eukaryotic LSU rRNA
Rfam family: Eukaryotic large subunit ribosomal RNA (bases 600-886)
Source: RNAcentral
CUUGGUCAUUUAGAGGAAGUAAAAGUCGUAACAAGGUUUCCGUAGGUGAACCUGCGGAAGGAUCACUAGAGAUUUCGCCCUCCGGGGCUCUCUUUUUCUUCACACACCCCUGUGCACUUUGGCUGCCGCUUCAUUGCGGUGGUCUUUUAUAAUUACCAUACCCAUAUACACAAGUCAUUGAAUGUAAAAUCGUUAUAAACUAAUAUAACUUUCAACAACGGAUCUCUUGGUUCUCGCAUCGAUGAAGAACGCAGCGAAUUGCGAUAAGUAAUGUGAAUUGCAGAAUUCAGUGAAUCAUCGAAUCUUUGAACGCAUCUUGCGCUCUUUGGUAUUCCGAAGAGCAUGCCUGUUUGAGUGUCAUGAAACUCUCACCUGCAGCACUCUUUUAUUAGAGGGCUGGAGCGUGGACGUGAGUGCUGCUGGUGCCCUCGCUGCAUCGGCUCACUUGAAAUUUAUUAGCUGAAUCCUCUAGUGUUGGUUCUACUCGACGUGAUAAGAUCUCCGUCGAGGACAGUGCUCCUUGUGGGCGUUGGCCACCGCUAGCUGUUGAUACGCUCCUAAUUAGCGCAGACUUCGAGUGCUGGCAACUUUUGACAACUUGGCCUCAAAUCAGGUAGGACUACCCACUGAACUUAAGCAUAUCAAUAAGUGGAGGAAAAGAAACUAACAAGGAUUCCCCUAGUAACGGCGAGUGAAGCGGGAAGAGCUCAAAUUUAAAAUCUGGCAGGCUACGCUUGUCCGAAUUGUAAUCUCGAGAAGUGUUUUCCGCGUUGGCCUGUGUACAAGUCCCUUGGAACAGGGCGUCAUAGAGGGUGAGAAUCCCGUCCUUGACACCGACACCCAAUGCUUUGUGAUACACUCUCAAUGAGUCGAGUUGUUUGGGAAU